This is a long non-coding RNA of Prionailurus viverrinus (fishing cat), 914 nucleotides long. RefSeq lists it as uncharacterized. Lineage: Eukaryota; Metazoa; Chordata; Mammalia; Carnivora; Felidae. The record is from RefSeq and is a predicted model, not a curated record. The transcript is spliced from 4 exons.
GGUAAACUGGACUACUACGGACUGGGAGACUAGUGAGGUUAGGAGGUGAGGAGCCUGAUAAAGGCAACAUUGCUUUAUACUCCUGAUAAAAUGCAACAUUGACGGCAACAGCAACACGGUUAGUUAAAAUAGAAAGCAUUUUACCCGCAGUGUACUUCAAAAAGGAAAGUUCAUAAUGUAUCAUUUCCUUCGGGACUGCUUUCAAGGUGAUGGAUUCUAGUAAUCUGAGGUGAAGGAAUGGAUUUCCAACUUUAGUUUUUGGAGACCGAAGUGAAAAUAACGUUAUCCUCUUGACUACUGGACAGUGCUACAUGGGUCACUCCUGAGGAAUGUCUACCCUUGGACUAGUGAAAACAGCUAAUGUAAGACAGGCUUCUCUAACCACUGGACAGCUUCCUGUUACUCUUUGCUAUGGGCUUCAAGUUGCUAUUGCUAAUGGCUCAAUUGGUCCUGCCCUUGACUUGAUACCUGAAGUACCAUAAUCAGGCAGACCCUAGGGAAGGAUUACUGGUGGGCACUACAGACAAGAGAGAAAUUGAAAACCUGGAUGAGCAGGAUCUGAGUUUGAUCAAAAGAAUCUGUUUCCAAAACAGGAUCGUGAAACUUGAGAGGAAAGUAGAAGGGAGUGAGGUCAAGUCCCUUCUAUAAAUGGUUUCCAUUGUAACCCCGGGCACAGUAGGUGAUGUUAAUAAGUUGUCCAGUAACUUCCCAUUUGAACACGUUUUUCCACUUACCCUCACUUCUUCAAACAAAACAAAGCAAGCAAGCAAACACUCAAGCAACGAUAUAAAACAGAAAAGCUUUCGGAUUGAAAACAAGGUGCUAAGAGCAAGAUACAGUCUUUACAGUCAAAUGAAAGAUUAUUAAAAAUGCUUCAGUGUGCUAAUGGUACCUUAUGUUUGCUUAUAAACCUU